GGUGAGAUUUGGGUUUUUGAAUGAUGGGUUUAAUGAUUUAUUUCAAGUGAAAGUGAGAAUAGGGUAGGCCUUUUCUUCAUCCCUUCUCCCUUUUCCCUGAAUUUAUCGUCAAGAUUUGGGCCUAUUUGGUUGGUGGUUUUUUUUUUAAGGAAUUUUGGAACACAAGCAUUAGUAAUGUUGUGAAAUCUGAAUUGAAAUUUCGUAAUAGGCAGAUUAGAAUUGCAAAUCAAGCCACUUGCUUCGAUUUUUCCCCAAUGGAAACCCAUGUGAAAAUUUCCCAUUGAAGAAAAACAAAGAAGAGAGGUUAGAAAUCAACAUGAACAGAGACAGUUCUCUUAAAGCAACUUCAAAAUUUUCUGAGCAAAGUCAACUUCCUGUUAUAAAUGGUAAAGGUAAUGGUCAAUUGAUGUAUAAAAAGAAAGGGUCGAAGAAGACACAACAUGAUUCAAGUGUUAAAAAUGGGAAGCCAUCAAGUGUGUUUAAGAGGAGAGUAUUUUGCUUCUCAAAAUCCUUUCCUGAGAAUAGGCAUUUGCACCCAUGAAUGGAGGAACUGCUUCUGAGUUACCUGAUACAAACUCCUGGAAGCAACCAUUUGAUGCUCAGAGAUACUUUUCACAUAGUGAAAGUGACUAACAGGACUGUGUAUACCUUUUUUUUUUUUUUUUUUUUGAGAAUUGGACUGUGUAUACCUAAAUAAAGAAAAGGAGCAAGUUGAGACAAUUUUCCCUCAGUUUUUCUCUCAAUCUAUUACUAUUGGUGUCAA
Molecule: long non-coding RNA, 763 nt
Organism: Quercus robur (English oak)
Lineage: Eukaryota; Viridiplantae; Streptophyta; Magnoliopsida; Fagales; Fagaceae
Exons: 2
Source: RefSeq, a predicted model, not a curated record